RNAcentral lists this ribosomal RNA (495 nucleotides) under uncultured bacterium. RNAcentral's name for it is "partial 16S ribosomal RNA". It matches the Rfam family "Bacterial small subunit ribosomal RNA", at positions 28 to 507 of the family's 1533-position model. The record is from RNAcentral.
GACGAACGCUGGCGGCGUGCCUAAUACAUGCAAGUAGAACGCUGAAGGAGGAGCUUGCUUCUCCGGAUGAGUUGCGAACGGGUGAGUAACGCGUAGGUAACCUGCCUGGUAGCGGGGGAUAACUAUUGGAAACGAUAGCUAAUACCGCAUAAGAGUAGAUGUCGCAUGACAUUUGCUUAAAAGGUGCAACUGCACCACUACCAGAUGGACCUGCGUUGUAUUAGCUAGUUGGUGAGGUAACGGCUCACCAAGGCAACGAUACAUAGCCGACCUGAGAGGGUGAUCGGCCACACUGGGACUGAGACACGGCCCAGACUCCUACGGGAGGCAGCAGUAGGGAAUCUUCGGCAAUGGACGGAAGUCUGACCGAGCAACGCCGCGUGGGUGAAGAAGGUUUUCGGAUCGUAAAGCUCUGUUGUAAGAGAAGAACGAGUGUGAGAGUGGAAAGUUCACACUGUGACGGUAUCUUACCAGAAAGGGACGGCUAACUACGUG